RNAcentral lists this unclassified non-coding RNA (234 nucleotides) under soil metagenome. RNAcentral's name for it is "partial contains small subunit ribosomal RNA, internal transcribed spacer 1, and 5.8S ribosomal RNA". The record is from RNAcentral.
UCUCCGUUGGUGAACCAGCGGAGGGAUCAUUACCGAGUUUACAACUCCCAAACCCAAUGUGAACGUUACCAUUCCGUUGCUUCGGCGGGAGUGCCCCGGGCGCGGCCGAGAGGCCCAGCCCCGGACCCAGGCGCCCGCCGGAGGACCCAAACUCUUGUGUUUUACAGUGGAAUCUUCUGAGUGGCUAUAAGCAAAAAUGAAUCAAAACUUUCAACAACGGAUCUCUUGGUUCUG